Molecule: long non-coding RNA, 1556 nt
Filed under: Homo sapiens (human)
Lineage: Eukaryota; Metazoa; Chordata; Mammalia; Primates; Hominidae
Description: HSALNT0127258
Source: RNAcentral
UGAAGUAGAGAGAUGUUAGUGAAGUCAUCCAGUGUCACACAGCUCAUAAGUAGAGGACUUAGGAUUUGAACGUUGUUCCCUCUGACUUCUAGAUGCCAAGUUAUACUUCAUGAUGUGAUGUAAACUGCCUAAAACUGCUUUUAAUUGGUAGACUUUGUUGAGUGUGUCACCAUCAACCACACACAAAAAAUGGAAACAUGUAUGAAUGACUCUUAAAGAAUUAAUAGAUUCAAGCCUGCUGAUUCCUUGUCAACAGGUCUACAUGAAGAAGAAAUGAUGGGACCAAACAAUCAGGAAGCAGGGAAGCACUGCACCAGCUCCUAACACAAGAGUGCAACAUGUUAUCCACUAGAUAUGACACAACCAGAUUGCCCCUACAGCCAAUGCUUCAGGAAGAAACAGCCUUAUACUCACAGCAUAUGUUUUCUUGCCCUUCAACCUCCUGCUAUAGGAUGAUACAGUAAGAAGGCCCUCACCAGAUACAGGCCCCAGGACCUUGGACUUUCCAGCCUCCAGAACUGUAAGGAAUAAAUCCCUGUUCCUUAUAAAUUACCCAGUCUCAGGUAUUCUGUUAAUAGCAGCAUAAAACAAAUUAAGACAAUAUAUGUUUAGAAUAAGAAACUAUGUUUUUAAAAAUAUUUUUGAUAAAAGCUAAUUACUUGAAAUCAUGAAUUAUGUGGUCAUAGGAGGUUUAUAUUUACCUACCAACAUUGUGAUAAUAAACUCUCUAUUAUUACUCUGUCUUUAUUCUGGAACCUCAAUAUUACGUCAGUAGUGUCAGGCCUCUGAGCCCAAGCUAAACCAUCAUAUCCCCUGUGACCUGCACGUACACAUCCAGAUGGCCUGAAGCAACUGAAGAAUCGCAAAAGAAGUGAUAAUGGCUGGUGUCUGCCUUAACUGAUGACAUUCCACCAUUGUGAUUUGUUUCUGCCCCACCUUAACUGAUGACAUUCCACCAUUGUGAUUUGUUUCUGCCCCACCUUAACUGAGCAAUUAACCUUGUGAAAUUCCUUCUCCUGACUCAGAAGCUCCCCCACUAAGCACCUUGUGACCCCUGCCCCUCCCCACAAGAGAACAACCCCCUUUGACUGUAAUUUUCCACUACCCACCCAAAUCCUAUAAAAUGGCCCCAUACCUGUCUCCCUUUGCUGACUCUCUUUUUGGACUUGCUCGCCUGCACCCAAGUAUUUAAAAAGCUUUUUUGCUCAUACAAAGCCUGUUUGGUGGUCUCUUCACAUGGACAUGUGUGACAUUUGGUGCUGUGACUUGAAUUGGGGGACCGCACUUGGGAGAUCAGUCCCGUGUCCUCCUGCUCUUUGCUCUGUGAGAAAGAUCCACCUACGACCUCUGGCCCUCAGACCAAUCAGCCCAAGGAAUAUCUCACCAAUUUUAAAUCUGAAGAAAAUAACCAUGUGACAAGAGACACACAAGGAGAAGGCCACGUGAUGAGGAAGGCAAGUACUGGAGUUGUGCAGUUGCAAGGCAAGGAAAUCCAAAGAUUCCUGGUGUUGGGGUGCACAAAACAAUACUCCAAAAUAUCAGGCUUUGGAAUGCUG